This 1382-nucleotide long non-coding RNA is filed under the name Callithrix jacchus (white-tufted-ear marmoset). RNAcentral's name for it is "lncRNA (ENSCJAG00000081973.1)". Lineage: Eukaryota; Metazoa; Chordata; Mammalia; Primates; Cebidae. The record is from RNAcentral.
GUUGAUUUUUUUUUUUUACUACAAUUCCUGUAUUGGACAGUGAUAGGGGCUGAAUUAGGCCCCACCCAAAUUCAUAUGCUGAAGUCCUAAGCCCCAGUCCUUUGGAAUGUGACUCUAUUUGAAGACAAGGUUUUUACAAAGGUAAUCAAGUUAAAAUGAGGUUGCCAGGGUGGGCGCUAAUUCAGUAAGACUGAUAUCUCUACAAGAAGAGUUAGGACACAGGGACAGAGAGAACUUGUGAAGACACAACUAGAAGGUCACCAUCUGUAAGCUGAGGACAGAGGCCUCAGAAGAAACCAACCCUGUGGACACAUCCAUCUCUCUGACUUCUAGCAUUUAGAAUUGUGAGAAAAUACAUUUCUGUUUUUUAAGCCACCCAGCUUGUGGUACUUGGUAGUGGCAGACGCAGCAAACUAAUACAGAUGGCCAUUCUAAGUGUUUCUCUCUAGAAAGCCGCAGAACAUAAAACACACAUCUGGUCUUCUGACUCCAAGAUGCUGGGGGUAAUUUCAGUAAAUAAAACUUUGCUCUAGAAAAGGCUUUGUAUUUUCAUUACCUGCCAUAUUAGGGUUUUCAUGGAGAGCAGGGACAAAGGCCAAACCUAUAUAAACUCAGAUUAAAUCCUUCAAGGGGUUGUUAUAAAUUCAUCACUUUUGGGUUCCAAGGAAUUCUCAAUCCCUUCUCUCCUGCAGCCCUGAAGAGCAAGAUCUGUAGCCUUCCAUGGGCGGCAUCUGUUGCUCCUCUGUGUGCUCAGCCUCAAGGCUACAUGCCCUGCUUGUUUCAGCCCAGACCCUCAGCUCAUUGGGCUACACAGUAUGAAGCUCGCUUCUCUUCUCUGCCCCAAACUCAUUUGAAACCACAGAAACCACAUGAAAAAUGGAGUCUGCCUACCUCUAAUCUAUGGAUCUCAGGCUUUUCCUUCCACAAUGAUUCACCAUCAAUGGCUAUGGAAGCCACAGCAGCAAUAAAGGACUCUUGUAUUGAUCCACUUUGAAAUUAUAGAGGAAAACAAAUUACCUUGAGGUUCUUUAUUGGCAGCGAGUGUUAGGUCCAGACAGAUUCCAGAAAAAUUUAGCUUUUAAGGUUUAAUUCAAAGGUCCCUUGCAAACUAUGGAUACAGGAAAAUGAAUCAUUUCAUAUUAGGGGAUGGGGUAAUAAUGAUGAUAAAUGCCUUUUUGAAAGCUUUGUCUUCUAAGCAUAAGCCUUUCUCUAAUAGUUCUUCAGAGCUGAUUAGAAGCUUUAAAAGUCCCAUUUAGGUCAAGGGCUGGUAAUUCCUAGUUUCUCUUUGGUGGAAAUAAUUGGCUUGAUAAUAUCCAAAUAAUAUUUAAUAAUUGAAUAAUAUUCAUUCUAUGUGAUUAUACUAUGUACAUGUUAAUUGGAUG